GGGUUGUGAGGUUAAGCGACUAAGCGUACACGGUGGAUGCCCUGGCAGUCAGAGGCGAUGAAGGACGUGCUAAUCUGCGAAAAGCGCCGGCGAGGUGAUAUGAACCUUUGACCCGGCGAUGUCCGAAUGGGGAAACCCAGUGUGUUCCGACACACUAUCGUUAACUGAAUACAUAGGUUAACGAGGCGAACCGGGGGAACUGAAACAUCUAAGUACCCCGAGGAAAAGAAAUCAACCGAGAUUCCCCCAGUAGCGGCGAGCGAACGGGGAGCAGCCCAGAGUCUGAAUCAGCUUGUGUGUUAGUGGAAGCGUCUGGAAAGUCGCACGGUACAGGGUGACAGUCCCGUACACGAAAGCACACAGGCUGUGAACUCGAAGAGUAGGGCGGGACACGUGGUAUCCUGUCUGAAUAUGGGGGGACCAUCCUCCAAGGCUAAAUACUCCUGACUGACCGAUAGUGAACCAGUACCGUGAGGGAAAGGCGAAAAGAACCCCGGCGAGGGGAGUGAAAAAGAACCUGAAACCGUGUACGUACAAGCAGUGGGAGCCUCUUUUAUGGGGUGACUGCGUACCUUUUGUAUAAUGGGUCAGCGACUUAUAUUCUGUAGCAAGGUUAACCGUAUAGGGGAGCCGAAGGGAAACCGAGUCUUAACUGGGCGUUAAGUUGCAGGGUAUAGACCCGAAACCCGGUGAUCUAGCCAUGGGCAGGUUGAAGGUUGGGUAACACUAACUGGAGGACCGAACCGACUAAUGUUGAAAAAUUAGCGGAUGACUUGUGGCUGGGGGUGAAAGGCCAAUCAAACCGGGAGAUAGCUGGUUCUCCCCGAAAGCUAUUUAGGUAGCGCCUCGUGAACUCAUCUUCGGGGGUAGAGCACUGUUUCGGCUAGGGGGCCAUCCCGGCUUACCAACCCGAUGCAAACUACGAAUACCGAAGAAUGUUAUCACGGGAGACACACGGCGGGUGCUAACGUCCGUCGUGAAGAGGGAAACAACCCAGACCGCCAGCUAAGGUCCCAAAGUCAUGGUUAAGUGGGAAACGAUGUGGGAAGGCACAGACAGCCAGGAUGUUGGCUUAGAAGCAGCCAUCAUUUAAAGAAAGCGUAAUAGCUCACUGGUCGAGUCGGCCUGCGCGGAAGAUGUAACGGGCUAAACCAUGCACCGAAGCUGCGGCAGCGACACUAUGUGUUGUUGGGUAGGGGAGCGUUCUGUAAGCCGUUGAAGGUGUCCUGUGAGGGGUGCUGGAGGUAUCAGAAGUGCGAAUGCUGACAUAAGUAACGAUAAAGCGGGUGAAAAGCCCGCUCGCCGGAAGACCAAGGGUUCCUGUCCAACGUUAAUCGGGGCAGGGUGAGUCGACCCCUAAGGCGAGGCCGAAAGGCGUAGUCGAUGGGAAACAGGUUAAUAUUCCUGUACUUGGUGUUACUGCGAAGGGGGGACGGAGAAGGCUAUGUUAGCCGGGCGACGGUUGUCCCGGUUUAAGCAUGUAGGCGGAACGAUUAGGUAAAUCCGGUCCGUUAUUAACGCUGAGGUGUGAUGACGAGGCACUACGGUGCUGAAGUAACAAAUGCCCUGCUUCCAGGAAAAGCCUCUAAGCAUCAGGUAACAUCAAAUCGUACCCCAAACCGACACAGGUGGUCAGGUAGAGAAUACCAAGGCGCUUGAGAGAACUCGGGUGAAGGAACUAGGCAAAAUGGUGCCGUAACUUCGGGAGAAGGCACGCUGAUAUGUAGGUGAAGUCCCUGCGGAUGGAGCUGAAAUCAGUCGAAGAUACCAGCUGGCUGCAACUGUUUAUUAAAAACACAGCACUGUGCAAACACGAAAGUGGACGUAUACGGUGUGACGCCUGCCCGGUGCCGGAAGGUUAAUUGAUGGGGUUAGCGGUAACGCGAAGCUCUUGAUCGAAGCCCCGGUAAACGGCGGCCGUAACUAUAACGGUCCUAAGGUAGCGAAAUUCCUUGUCGGGUAAGUUCCGACCUGCACGAAUGGCGUAAUGAUGGCCAGGCUGUCUCCACCCGAGACUCAGUGAAAUUGAACUCGCUGUGAAGAUGCAGUGUACCCGCGGCAAGACGGAAAGACCCCGUGAACCUUUACUAUAGCUUGACACUGAACACUGGUCCUUGAUGUGUAGGAUAGGUGGGAGGCUUUGAAGCGUGGACGCCAGUCUGCGUGGAGCCAACCUUGAAAUACCACCCUUUAAUGGCUGGUGUUCUAACGUAGACCCGUAAUCCGGGUUGCGGACAGUGUCUGGUGGGUAGUUUGACUGGGGCGGUCUCCUCCCAAAGAGUAACGGAGGAGCACGAAGGUUAGCUAAUCCUGGUCGGACAUCAGGAGGUUAGUGCAAUGGCAUAAGCUAGCUUGACUGCGAGAGUGACGGCUCGAGCAGGUGCGAAAGCAGGUCAUAGUGAUCCGGUGGUUCUGAAUGGAAGGGCCAUCGCUCAACGGAUAAAAGGUACUCCGGGGAUAACAGGCUGAUACCGCCCAAGAGUUCAUAUCGACGGCGGUGUUUGGCACCUCGAUGUCGGCUCAUCACAUCCUGGGGCUGAAGUAGGUCCCAAGGGUAUGGCUGUUCGCCAUUUAAAGUGGUACGCGAGCUGGGUUUAGAACGUCGUGAGACAGUUCGGUCCCUAUCUGCCGUGGGCGCUGGAGAAUUGAGGGGGGCUGCUCCUAGUACGAGAGGACCGGAGUGGACGCAUCACUGGUGUUCGGGUUGUCAUGCCAAUGGCACUGCCCGGUAGCUAAAUGCGGAAGAGAUAAGUGCUGAAAGCAUCUAAGCACGAAACUUGCCCCGAGAUGAGUUCUCCCUGAGACUUUAAGUCUCCUGAAGGAACGUUGAAGACUACGACGUUGAUAGGUCGGGUGUGUAAGCGCAGCGAUGCGUUGAGCUAACCGAUACUAAUGAACCGUGAGGCUUAACCUUACAACGCCGAAG
This 2926-nucleotide ribosomal RNA is filed under the name Enterobacter ludwigii. RNAcentral describes it as "23S ribosomal RNA". It matches the Rfam family "Bacterial large subunit ribosomal RNA". Lineage: Bacteria; Pseudomonadati; Pseudomonadota; Gammaproteobacteria; Enterobacterales; Enterobacteriaceae. The record is from RNAcentral. RNAcentral also lists the same sequence under 1 other name.